RNAcentral lists this unclassified non-coding RNA (1060 nucleotides) under Hevea brasiliensis (rubber tree). The record is from RNAcentral. Lineage: Eukaryota; Viridiplantae; Streptophyta; Magnoliopsida; Malpighiales; Euphorbiaceae.
CUACCUUCACUGAUUCUUUCUCCGUUUCUCAGGUAAUUCAAUCGUUGCUCUUCUAAUCGAAUUUCUUGCGUUCUCUUUCUUUUCUUAAUUUACCUUGUAUCGAAAAUUCGAGUCUGGGAUUCAAUUUCAGGUAUCUUCUUUGAUAGUCUUUCCUCAAUUCUUACUCUCUUUUCAUUUUUUCUAUGAAGAUCGAGCGAGCAAGAGCGAAAGAGAAUUCAUAUUAUCUGAGUUCUGUGUGUUAUGAUUUUUUUCUUUUUUAAAUUGUAUAUAUCAGUUUAUUGAAUAUGAGAUUUUAGUUAAAUUAGAAUAUGUUUGUGUAUCUUUUUAGUGUUCUGCGAUGACAACAUUUAGCAUUCAUGUUGAUUUUCUUUGUUUGGUCUGAGACAAUGAAGGAAACAAAUGGAAUAUAACUCUUGCUUUUCUUUUCUUUUUUUCUCAAUUUGCUAUAUACAAUUGGUAUAAUUUCUGAAGAUAGUUGUAAUUGAGCUCAACUGGGUGGAGUUUCUUCUCUAUACCCAUUUAUUUAAAUCUUAAAAUUCUAUAGUUGUAUGUUGGAGCUACGCAGUUUUUUUUCCCUCUUUUUUUUGGGUAAAAUAUGGUUGCUCGUGUUUAAUAUGAUGAAAGUUUCAUGCCCGCUUUAAAAAUUGGUUAUUUUUAGGUGCAUAUGUGCCCAUUUGUGUUUAAUCUAAUGGAUAGCUUUGUUUUGCUAUGAUUUCAUUUAUUUCUAUUGGAGUAAGAGUGUUACAAGGGUCUCAUAACUAUGCACGUGGUGUGAAUUUAACUAACUUUGGAUUUGCUGACUGGUAGAUGGCUCAAUUUAAGCUUUUCCCAGUUUAUUGCCUGGUGACAUUAUAAUUAAUUUUCAUUGCAGAAAGUAUCUGGUCGCACAGCUUGCAUUGCUUAGGUCGAGAAAGGUGUUUCUAUUGUUUCAUUAAGUUUUAGUUAUUGAGCUUUGUUAUUGUAACUAUAAACAUGUUAUGAUCACAUAUAUCACUACAUGAAAGCGAAGCAUUCUACAGAUAAGGCAUUGUGUGGACCAAGAAUUCUAUGUUACUUGGAC